This 412-nucleotide ribosomal RNA is filed under the name uncultured bacterium. Its description in RNAcentral is "bacterial SSU rRNA". It matches the Rfam family "Bacterial small subunit ribosomal RNA", at positions 8 to 422 of the family's 1533-position model. The record is from RNAcentral.
AGAGUUUGAUCCUGGCUCAGAUUGAACGCUGGCGGAAUGCUUUACACAUGCAAGUCGAGCGGCAGCGCGGGGGCAACCCUGGCGGCGAGCGGCGAACGGGUGAGUAAUGUAUCGGAACGUACCCAGUCGUGGGGGAUAACUAUCCGAAAGGAUAGCUAAUACCGCAUACGUCCUGAGGGAGAAAGCGGGGGACCGUAAGGCCUCGCGCGAUUGGAGCGGCCGAUAUCGGAUUAGCUAGCUGGUGAGGUAAAGGCUCACCAAGGCGACGAUCCGUAGCUGGUCUGAGAGGACGACCAGCCACACUGGAACUGAGACACGGUCCAGACUCCUACGGGAGGCAGCAGUGGGGAAUUUUGGACAAUGGGGGCAACCCUGAUCCAGCCAUUCCGCGUGAGUGAAGAAGGCCUUCGGG